RNAcentral lists this ribosomal RNA (202 nucleotides) under uncultured bacterium. RNAcentral describes it as "partial 16S ribosomal RNA". It matches the Rfam family "Bacterial small subunit ribosomal RNA", at positions 334 to 526 of the family's 1533-position model. The record is from RNAcentral.
UACUCCUACGGGAGGCAGCAGUGGGGAAUAUUGCACAAUGGGGGGAACCCUGAUGCAGCCAUGCCGCGUGUCUGAAGAAGGCCUUCGGGUUGUAAAGGACUUUUGUUAGGGAAGAAAAGCCGGGUGAUAAUACCACCUGGUGCUGACGGUACCUAAAGAAUAAGCACCGGCUAACUACGUGCCAGCAGCCGCGGUAAUAAUC